GGGGGCAUACACCUGUAAUCCAGGCUACUGGGAUGGCUGAGGCUGGUGGGUCUCUUGAGCAUGGGAGUUGUGAAAUGCAGUGGGAUGCUUAUCAUGUUCUGCACUAAAUUUAGCAUUGAUAUAGUAAACUCUCUGGAAUGGGAGGCCACCAGGCUGCCUAAGGAGGUCUGAAUAGGCCCAGGCUGGAAAUGGAAUGGGCCAAAGGUCCCAUGCUGAUUAAUAGUGAAAUUGGGCUGAUGAGUGGCUGGGAGCAAUAGAGAGACCCCGUCUUUC
This 273-nucleotide signal recognition particle RNA is filed under the name Vombatus ursinus (common wombat). RNAcentral's name for it is "Metazoan signal recognition particle RNA (ENSVURG00010022022.1)". It matches the Rfam family "Metazoan signal recognition particle RNA". Rfam says of the family: The signal recognition particle (SRP) is a universally conserved ribonucleoprotein. It is involved in the co-translational targeting of proteins to membranes. The record is from RNAcentral. Lineage: Eukaryota; Metazoa; Chordata; Mammalia; Diprotodontia; Vombatidae.